Molecule: ribosomal RNA, 329 nt
Filed under: uncultured eukaryote
Lineage: Eukaryota
Description: partial 18S ribosomal RNA
Rfam family: Eukaryotic small subunit ribosomal RNA
Source: RNAcentral
CCCUUAGAUGUCCGGGGCUGCACGCGCGCUACACUGUAGAAAGCAGCGUGCUUUAAAACCUUUCCUGAAAAGGAUGGGUAACCCCAGCAAAAUUCUACGUGCUUGGGAUAGAGAUUUGCAAUUUUCUCUCUUGAACGAGGAAUUCCUAGUAAGCGCAAGUCAACAGCUUGCGUUGAUUACGUCCCUGCCCUUUGUACACACCGCCCGUCGCUACUACUGAUUGGAUGUUUAAGCGAGGUUCUCGAACUGCUAGCGACUUAGCUUCGGUGAGGUCGCAGUGUGGGAAGUGAACCGAGCUUUGGUGUCUAGAGGAAGUAAAAGUCGUAACA